GCGACCCCAGGACGGGCGAGGGCACCCGCUGAGUUU
RNAcentral lists this ribosomal RNA (36 nucleotides) under Liparis bingzhongluoensis. Its description in RNAcentral is "partial large subunit ribosomal RNA". The record is from RNAcentral. Lineage: Eukaryota; Viridiplantae; Streptophyta; Magnoliopsida; Asparagales; Orchidaceae.